Molecule: ribosomal RNA, 443 nt
Filed under: uncultured bacterium
Lineage: Bacteria
Description: partial 16S ribosomal RNA
Rfam family: Bacterial small subunit ribosomal RNA
Source: RNAcentral
CCUACGGGUGGCAGCAGUGGGGAAUAUUGGGCAAUGGGCGCAAGCCUGACCCAGCCAUGCCGCGUGAAGGAAGAAGGCUUUCGGGUUGUAAACUUCUUUUCUCAGGGACGAAGGAAGUGACGUUACUUAAGGAAUAAGCCACGGCUAACUCCGUGCCAGCCGCCGCGGUAAUACGUAGGGGGCACGCGUUAUUCGGAUUUACUGGGGGGAAAGGGCGGGUAGGCGGGACUGCAAGUCAGAUGUGAAAACCAUGGGCUCAACCUGUGGCCUGCAUUUGAAACUGUAGGUCUUGAGUACUGGAGAGGCGGACAGAAUUCCAAGUGUAGCGGUGAAAUGCGUAGAUAUUAGGAGGAACACCAGUGGCGAAGGCGGUCUGCUGGACAACGACUGACGCUGAGGCGCGAAAGCGUGGGGAGCAAACAGGAUUAGAUACCCGGGUAGUC